UCUCUCUCUGUGUGUGUGUGUAGCCUCUCUCCCUCUGUCUCACUCCGUCAAGCAAGUUCUGACGCCAGUCGACUACUUUUCUGGUCUCACCCGCCGCCGCUGUUGGGCAACACCGCACUGCAGUUUUUGAAUUACCGAUACAAAGAGUUGAAGAUUUAACGGAACGAUUGGCUGAUGAAUAUGAGACAUAUGUUGAGAUUGGUAUGUCAAAUAAAGAUGAUGAAGCGAAGCCCCAUGUCUUAGGUACUUCAAAACAAGGAGGAGGAGGAAAAGAUGAAUAAGACGAAGAAGAAUGAGACAAAGAAUAUUAAAAUAAUCACCUUGUUCGGGUUCAAAUGGAUACAGGCAUGGGGUCGAGGACUCUGCAUGAAGGGGAUGAGCUCGAGGUAUUCGAGGGCGAGGUGGUUGUGCCAAAACACGUGACGCUCAUAAAGUCACACAACCUCCCUUGCCUCCACUACCUUCUAUCCCUUCUUUAAUUAAUUAAAUAAUUGAUGCAAUAACUAUUAAAGAAAAAUAGAUUAAUAAUACCAACAAGGUGUUAGUUGAGGUGGUUAGCGCCUUUAAUUCCCAUAAGGUUUGAUCCCCGGUUACACUAAA
This is a long non-coding RNA of Jatropha curcas, 600 nucleotides long. RefSeq lists it as uncharacterized. The record is from RefSeq and is a predicted model, not a curated record. NCBI's taxonomy places the organism in Eukaryota, Viridiplantae, Streptophyta, Magnoliopsida, Malpighiales, Euphorbiaceae.